RNAcentral lists this ribosomal RNA (165 nucleotides) under Curcuma singularis. Its description in RNAcentral is "5.8S ribosomal RNA". It matches the Rfam family "5.8S ribosomal RNA". From Rfam's summary of the family: 5.8S ribosomal RNA (5.8S rRNA) is a component of the large subunit of the eukaryotic ribosome. Lineage: Eukaryota; Viridiplantae; Streptophyta; Magnoliopsida; Zingiberales; Zingiberaceae. The record is from RNAcentral.
CAAAUGACUCUCGGCAAUGGAUAUCUCGGCUCUUGCAUCGAUGAAGAACGUAGUGAAAUGCGAUACUUGGUGUGAAUUGCAGAAUCUCGYGAACCAUUGAGUCUUUGAACGCAAGUUGUGCCCGAGGCCUUGUGGUCGAGGGCACGCCUGCUUGGGUGUCAUGRC